This 491-nucleotide ribosomal RNA is filed under the name uncultured bacterium. Its description in RNAcentral is "partial 16S ribosomal RNA". It matches the Rfam family "Bacterial small subunit ribosomal RNA", at positions 29 to 506 of the family's 1533-position model. The record is from RNAcentral.
AGUAAACGCUGGCGGUAGGCCUAACACAUGCAAGUCGAACGGCAGCACAGUAAGAGCUUGCUCUUACGGGUGGCGAGUGGCGGACGGGUGAGGAAUACAUCGGAAUCUACUUUUUCGUGGGGGAUAACGUAGGGAAACUUACGCUAAUACCGCAUACGACCUACGGGUGAAAGCAGGGGAUCUUCGGACCUUGCGCGAUUGAAUGAGCCGAUGUCGGAUUAGCUAGUUGGCGGGGUAAAGGCCCACCAAGGCGACGAUCCGUAGCUGGUCUGAGAGGAUGAUCAGCCACACUGGAACUGAGACACGGUCCAGACUCCUACGGGAGGCAGCAGUGGGGAAUAUUGGACAAUGGGCGCAAGCCUGAUCCAGCCAUACCGCGUGGGUGAAGAAGGCCUUCGGGUUGUAAAGCCCUUUUGUUGGGAAAGAAAAGCAGCAGGUUAAUACCCCGCUGUUCUGACGGUACCCAAAGAAUAAACACCGGCUAACUUCGU